Drosophila suzukii is the source of this 466-nucleotide non-coding RNA. NCBI's taxonomy places the organism in Eukaryota, Metazoa, Arthropoda, Insecta, Diptera, Drosophilidae. The record is from RefSeq and is a predicted model, not a curated record.
AACUAGGGAUGCAAAAACAUCGAUGUCACUAUCGAUACUAUCGAUGUUUUUUAAAACAGCGAUGUAUCGAUGCUUUUUUUCGAACAUCGAUGUUAUCACUAAGAGAUACACACGCAAAGCAAGUGUUUGAUACAGGUAAAACAUAUUAGGGCGGUUCCUCUCGGCACAAUGGACAGGUUUCUGCACAUAACAAACCACGUGUCUGCUGCUUCGUCGUCUGCUCCAACGUCCAACGUACAGAAAAACCAGUGGAUUAUUAGUUAAGAUAUAGAUAUCGAUUAGAUAAGUAAGAUAAGUAAGAACUGAACUGAACUGAACUGAACUGAACUGAAGUGAACUGAACUGAAAUAAUGUGAUUCCAUUUUUCUUUAUGAUUUCGUUAAAAUAUGUAUUAAGAUUAUGCUUUUUUAUUUGUUUCUGAAAAUAUUGUUGUUGUUUUGUUUGAAUAAAUAUAAGUUUAUAAUAA